This 29-nucleotide non-coding RNA is filed under the name Rattus norvegicus (Norway rat). The record is from RNAcentral. Lineage: Eukaryota; Metazoa; Chordata; Mammalia; Rodentia; Muridae.
UGUGCAGAUCCUAAGCUAGAGUCAGAUGA